Non-coding RNA from Paramisgurnus dabryanus, 1490 nucleotides. NCBI's taxonomy places the organism in Eukaryota, Metazoa, Chordata, Actinopteri, Cypriniformes, Cobitidae. The record is from RefSeq and is a predicted model, not a curated record.
UUGGUUGGUUGGUUGUUUGUUGGUUGGUUAAUAAUUGAGAGUCUGUAUCCUACUUGUCGUUGAUUUACAGAAUGCCAAAUCUUAAUUGGUGAAUUUGUGAUUGGCGAUUAACCGAAUUAAUAAAAGUAGAAAAGUAAGUUGGACUGUCUUUAGCAAUACUGUGUUAAGGACUGGACUGUAACAGGAGGUGAGAAAGAAAAGCGUGACGUAUUACUUUUUAUUAUCAUUAAAAUAUAUGCGUUUUGUUUACGCGAAAAAAACUUUUAUUUACAUUGGUUAUUUUAUUCAAAGGCUAUGGAGAAACCAUGCAUCUUAGCCACCACGCUAGGAGAAAAUGGGGGCAUCGAUCGGCGUUUUGCGCCUUGUAUUGAGAAACACUUCACUAUAGUCCCAUAUGAGAAAUUUGUUUCGAGGAAAGAGGACUUCGCUGACAAAAUCCAGGCUCUGUUUGUUUGGAAUGCAACAAUAAAUGUUGAUCGUAAUCUGUUACAGUCCUUACCUAACCUCAAAGUUGUAGUAAACGGUGGGGUUGGAGUAGACCAUCUUGAUAUUUCUCUUAUCAAUAGCUUUGGAGUCAAAGUUUGCAACACUCCUCAUGUGGUGGACAAUGCCACUGCAGAUAUUGGCAUGGGUUUACUGUUAGCGUCUGCACGAAAGAUUGUUGAGGGACACAUUUUUAGUAGGUUUCGGGAAUCUGAUGAUUUGACAACGAUAUCCUUGGGCACUGACGUUAGUGGAGCCACCCUUGGCAUAGUUGGGAUGGGUAAAAUUGGAUACAAAGUAGCUAGGAGAGCUCAAGGGUUUGAGAUGAAAAUCCUUUACCACAAUAGGAAUCGAAGGACAGAGAGUGAAGAAAGAGCAGUUGGGGCCACAUAUUGUGAAAGUAUGGAAGAGUUGUUGCGGAGGUCAGACUUUGUCAUGGUGGUAGUCGAUCUAAACCCUCAGACACACAAGCUGAUUGGUGCCAAAGAGCUUGCAUUGAUGAAACCCAGCGCAACCCUUAUCAACAUUAGCAGAGGUUUGGUUGUGGACCAAGAUGCUUUAGUGGAUGCUCUGCAAAAGAAAGUGAUACGAGCCGCAGCAUUAGAUGUUACUUAUCCUGAGCCACUGCCCAGGGACCAUCCCCUGCUGUCCUUCCCAAAUGUCAUCGUCCUGCCCCACUUUGGAACCCACACUAUGGAAACGACACAGGUUAUGGUGGAGAGGAUGGUGACCAAUGCCUUGGCUGCUCUCAAUGGAGACCAGCUUCCUGACGAAGUCAAGGCAUAGCGCCAAGAUCACAGAGCCAUCUGUCCAUUCUUUCUUUACAGCAAAAGAAAAACCGAUUUUAUUUUAUCAUUAUAAAACUGAAAAAAAGUUUAAGACACGUCCCGCUUUUCCGCUUAUUCACUGAUGCGUAACACUAUUUGGCCAUGCAGAGCUAAACAAAACAAAACGCGAGUGGUCUGCGAAAAGUGGCCAGUUGAGUCGAAGCUGAUCGGAGAUCAUGA